AGCGAACGCUGGCGGCAGGCCUAACACAUGCAAGUCGAACGCCCCUUCGGGGGAGUGGCGGACGGGUGAGUAACGCGUGGGAAUGUGCCCUUUGGUACGGAACAACUGAGGGAAACUUCAGCUAAUACCGUAUGUGCCCUACGGGGGAAAGUUUUAUCGCCAUUGGAGCAGCCCGCGUUGGAUUAGGUAGUUGGUGGGGUAAUGGCCCACCAAGCCGACGAUCCAUAGCUGGUCUGAGAGGAUGAUCAGCCACACUGGGACUGAGACACGGCCCAGACUCCUACGGGAGGCAGCAGUGGGGAAUCUUGCGCAAUGGGCGAAAGCCUGACGCAGCCAUGCCGCGUGAAUGAUGAAGGUCUUAGGAUUGUAAAAUUCUUUCACCGGGGAAGAUAAUGACGGUACCCGGAGAAGAAGCCCCGGCUAACUUCGUG
This 431-nucleotide ribosomal RNA is filed under the name uncultured bacterium. RNAcentral describes it as "partial 16S ribosomal RNA". It matches the Rfam family "Bacterial small subunit ribosomal RNA", at positions 29 to 507 of the family's 1533-position model. The record is from RNAcentral.